Long non-coding RNA from Ictalurus punctatus (channel catfish), 2519 nucleotides. RefSeq lists it as uncharacterized. The transcript is spliced from 9 exons. NCBI's taxonomy places the organism in Eukaryota, Metazoa, Chordata, Actinopteri, Siluriformes, Ictaluridae. The record is from RefSeq and is a predicted model, not a curated record.
CAUCUUGGUUACACAUUGCUGAAUGCAAUGUGGUUUCAGAGCACACCUAAUUAACCUAAUUAGCCAGUGAACCUUUGACAAUUAGCAGACUACAUCCUCAAAGUGAGCGUUUUAAAGUUAAACAGUGAGACUUAAUUGAUAAACAUGGCCUUCAAGUUAGCUUGAGUUUAGUUGGCUAGCUAGCUAACGUUUUGCAUUAAAGCUUAAUUUUCUUUCUUUUUUUUUUUUUUUUUGCAGCGUGGUUUCUUAAAAAUGAUAAACAACCAAAUUCCACACAGCAAAUGUUAGCCAUGUGAAAUGUUAAGAGCAGUGGGGGAAAUUUCCUCCAUGUGAUGUUUAGCUUCAUAAAUAAGUGAACUUGAUGUUUUUUGGUGGUUUUAUUGCUGUUUACAGAGGGUGAGGUUGUGGGGAGGCUGCCCCAUGUGCUCGUCUGUGUGGAGUGUCUCUGCUCUCUGGAGUGUCCUCAGGACUCCAACUCUGUCCCCUCAGUCAGCUGUCCCGAGUGUAGGACAGCGAUAAAGAGGGCAGGACCUGGUCAGACCUCCAGUCAGACGUGGAAGUGUCUGGGUAAAGACCACCAAGAGAUGCUGCAGAACUGGCAGCCGAUGGACGAUAUGCCGUGUGAGCGUAUUCUUCUGCUUUCUGAUUAACUUUCUUUGCCAUGCUGAGGGAGGUGUUGACUAAAUUAGAGAUGGUGCUGGACCAACAAACCACUGAGAUUGCUUCAACUACAGGAGGUCCAGCUGCAGCCUUUGGAUAUUGAUGAAGAUUUACUGCCCUGCAAGACCUUCCUCAACUGCGUAGUCUGGAGCGAAGGAUGCAACAGAGCCCAGAUUACAAGCAAGAUCUGUUCAUAGAAACCUCUUUACGCCUAAAGCUGCAGCGAUGGAGGUCGAGGGGACCAUGAAGAGGUGGCUCCAGCUGGCAUCAGAUCAAGAGUGUGGGUGCAAGAGAAGUCUUUUGCAAAAAGAAGCUACCAGGAAUCCUGAAGAAGGACUAGCGCAUUGGAGCGGUCGUGCUGCACGUGGGGGCAAACAUCAGGCUGUGGCAGGCGGAGGUUCUGAAGAGGGACUUCUCCAGCCUGAUCGAGACGGUACGAGGCAGAUCACCCACCGCGAAGAUCAUCGUCUCUGGACCUCUUCCCUCAUACAGAGGUGGAGCUGAAAGGCUCAGUAGACUUCUUGCUUUGAAUGACUGGUUAGUUUCUUGGUGUAAUGAACAGAAUCUGCUGUUUGUUAAUAACUGGAAUCUGUUCUGGGAUCAGAACUGCUGUCAGACAACAUCUCCAAGACGCUACAGACCAAGUGACUGUCUACCGUCAAAUUAUUCAUAAACAUGGAAUGAAUUUCCACUGUUAUGCUGAUGAUACAGAGCUGUAUGUUUGCAACUGAACAAUAACAACAAUAAACAACAACUGAAGAAUAGCGAAAAACUUCUGUUUUGUAAGUCAACUGUUUUGUAAGUCAAACUUUUUAAUGUUCACCUGGAAUUUGACUCCUAUGUGACUAAAUGAUGGAAUUGUAUCUUAUGUUGGACCAUGUAUUCCAGAGAUUUUUUAUUUGAAUUUCUUGUAGCGUGCUUACUUGAAGACGAUGAGGCAGAGCAGCAUCGGAGAGACAGUUCGCUCCAUUCUCCAAAGAAUCGGGGAGAACAGUCUGUAAUGUAUGUUUUUGUUGAAAGUGUCAAAAGGUGGGAAGCUGGCUUUGACUGAUCAGGAUGAAGUGUAUGGCCUUGUACACUAUAUUGCCGAACAAGCACAUGGACGUGAAUAUACUGUUGCCGGUUGCAGAGAGGCCAUCGGCAGCUACCUAAAAAAUGCCCCAGGCAGGAAAAGUGGCAAGAAACAUAUUAUGAGUGUUUAUGAUGAAGCAGAGCUACGUGGGAUCUCCAGUGCGUCCUGCAAGAAUUGGGCCUGAGUCCAGUUCAGAUUCAAUUUUGUAAUCUCAUUCCUCUCCCUUGCGUGACAGCCUCCAAACAGUACAAUUCUAAUGAGCUUGAAUAUACGGGGAAUUCCAUUGGGUUUGAUGUCUGACUAAUUAAAGACCCACCUCUUCUAUGAACACCUAACCAACUCAUAAUAAAAAAAAAAUAUAUAAAAAAAAAAUGCACUUACACCUCUAGUCUGCACUUUGCUUCUUCUAGAAUUCAAUGAAUAGAUCUUGUAUGGUAGCUGCUCUUGUAUUGUUCUCUGCUUGAUAUAUCGCUUUGCUUGUAUCUUUCUUAUUUGUAAGUCGCUUUGGAUAAAAGCGUCUGCUAAGUGAAUGUAAUGUAAAUGUAAUAAAUUGUUUUCUUUGAUUAGCAAUACAUAGGUACUAUAUCUGGCUGUUUUGUGUGUUACAAUAUUGAAUGUCAUUUUUCAGCUAUUCACUUUGUCUGCAUUUACUAAAAUUCAUGCAUGUUUAUUAAAAAUAUUCACGGAGUUUGUUAAACUAUAUAAUUGUUGUCUAUCAUUCAUAAGAUUCGUCAUGGGAAUUCCAUAGACCAGAAUCUAACAUCCACAUUAUUGAAGCAUUGUUUAA